CGCGGUAUAUUGACCGUGCAAAGGUAGCAUAAUCAUUAGUUUUUUAAUAGGGGACUGGUAUGAAAGGUUUAACGAAACAUAAACUGUCUUUAUAAUUUAACUUUUGAGUUAAAAGGCUUAAAUUUUUUUGAGGGACGAGAAGACCCUAUAGAGCUUUACAUUAUAUUGUUUUGUUGGGGUGACAAACUUUACAUUAAAUUUAUGGAUCCAAUAUUAUUGAUUAUUAGAAUAAGUUACCUUAGGGAUAACAGCGUAAUCUUUUUUCAGAGACCAAAUUUACAAAAAGGCUUGCGACCUCGAUGUUGGAUUAAGAUUAUAAUUAGGUGCAGUAGCUUAAUAAAUAGGUCUGUUCGAC
This 355-nucleotide ribosomal RNA is filed under the name Microstigma rotundatum. RNAcentral's name for it is "partial 16S ribosomal RNA". It matches the Rfam family "Archaeal large subunit ribosomal RNA", at positions 2009 to 2654 of the family's 2987-position model. The record is from RNAcentral. Lineage: Eukaryota; Metazoa; Arthropoda; Insecta; Odonata; Coenagrionidae.